Molecule: long non-coding RNA, 3753 nt
Filed under: Limulus polyphemus (Atlantic horseshoe crab)
Lineage: Eukaryota; Metazoa; Arthropoda; Merostomata; Xiphosura; Limulidae
Description: uncharacterized LOC111088507
Source: RNAcentral
AAAUGUUGGUUUAUUUUUCAGUCCAGCUCAAGAAGCACAGAAAAUCUUCAAAGCUAAUUAUCCUAUGGAUCCAGAAGUCACCAAAACUAAGUUAAUAGGUUUUGGAAUGCAAUAUCUGCCUGGAAUUGAUCCUAAUCCUGAAAACAGUGUGUGUGCAGGAAUCAUCCACACUCGUUCUUUACAAGUAGGCUGUUUGCUGAGAUUAGAACCGAACUCACAUGCUCAGAUGUACCGACUUACUAUGAGAUCUAGUAAAGAUUCAGUAUCCAAGGAACUGUGUGAACUGUUAUAUGACCAGUUCUGACCUCCCUAUUAGAUAGUCAGCAUCUUUUUGUUCAUCACCAGCAUGACUUGCCUGUAGAGAAGACAGGAAUCAGCAGUCAGAGCUGGGAAGAGCUUCAUUUCUUGCCAGCUGGUACUGCAUGGAAUUACCAUUUCAUGUUGUGUAGAUGUUUUUCACAGUUUUCCACCAAUUUUUGUCUGCCCUUCUAGAUACCCGUGGAGAAAAUGGACCACAAAAUGGAUGUCAUUAGCAUGUUUUGUCUAGGAUAUUAGAAACGUUUUAAAAAUCCAUUAGUGAUUAUAUUAUUCUCUUAAGUGUUAUAAGAAAACUGUGGACAUAAUUUAGAAAAAAGCUUUCAAAGAUUUGAGUUCUUGGUCUGUAACAUGUGUGUUUACUUUCUCCUGUCUUUAUGUAUCUUGUCAGUGUCAAACUUGUAACUAAAGGCAAAAGAAAAAAAAUUCAUUUAGAAAUUAAUUUUCAGUUGUUGUAUCUCCAGUCAGCACAGAUUGUGAACUUUCUUCUUUUGUGUUUUACUUGUUUAUUCUUGGCUUAAACGAACUUCUAAUUAUUAUCAAAGCUUUUGGUUUUGUUGGCAAACUGUUUAGGAGAGUUUGUAUGUGACUAUUAGGUUUUGUUUUAAAUAUCUGUUAUUAAAUACACACAAAUGAACACUCAUUAUAGAAGGUAAAGGUCAGAUGUUGACAUAAUAGUCGUGUACCACAUUCAUUUUUGUGGUGCAUUUUUUUCUUGUCAAUAAUUAUUCUGGACUGUCAUCGUACCUAAAAUAAUCACUAUGUUUUUUUCCUUUUAUGUAAUGUAUUAUAACCAAGGUUUAUUAGCUUGUUAAUGUAUGUAUUUGUAUAUUAAUAGUAAACAUUCCAUGUGCAAUUUCUGUUGACAUUAUAACAUUAAAAGUAGAUAAUAUACUUUGAGUUAAUGAGCUUUUGUUUUGUUGUUAAACAUUAAAAAUUACAUUAAUAUGUCUAAUCAUAUGUAGAACAUGAAAAUGGUUGCUUUUCUUGUUAGGAAUUGACCAGGUGUUUUAAGAUUAAAAAUCAUUGAUUACAUAUUAGAUAUCAUAGUACUGUGUAAUGUUAUCUGUACUUUCGUAUUUGAUGGAAGUUACUUUGUCAGUAUAAAAAUUGUUUUUGUGAUGUUAAAAACUUAGACUGAUUGAUUUUUUAAUAAUUCAAACUAGCCCUGGUAUAAGUUGAACAAUUUAAUGAAAAUUUUGUAUAUAUUUAGUAAUUAAUGUAUGAGUAACGAAUUUCUCCCCAUGAAUUGUUAUAUUUGUUUUUGAACAGUGUAACAAAUGUUGUAGAAGUAAAAGGCCACAUUUUAUGUUGUGUCCUUUAAUUUAAAAAAUAUCUAAUAAAAUUUCCAAUUUUCAAACAGUUAGGAGUUUGAAAUACGUAUUACUGUUCACUAAGUCAUCAAAUAUUGGUAUUAUUGUGCUUCUCUCAGAGAAAGUACAUUUAAUUUUCCAUCUUUAUAUUAAACUUGGUUAAAAUUGUCACAACUUGCCAUUAAGAAUGUUACCACAAAAGAUUUUAUUUUUGUGCUCAUUCUCUAAGAUUUGAUUAUAUUGAUAAUUGAGAUUUUCCUUUAUUUCCAUUUCGAGUAUAUUAAAUAUAUGCUUCUUUAAAAACAAAACAUAGAAAUAUAUGUUUAGAAGAACCACACAUGUUCUGACCAUGAAUUUAAAGUCAUUUUCCAGUGUGUUGUGAAAGUCUAGUGGAAUAAGGUGUAUAAUUGAAAACUAUGGAACUUACCUCAAGUUAAUAUUGAUGUUUAUUAAACUAAAGUUUCCUACUGUAAUAUGUAGGUAGCUUUUCUUCAUCAGAACUUAAUGAUAGAUUUACUGCUGCACACCAAAAGUAUUUUAAUGGUGCAAGCACAUUUUCAGGUGAAUAUCCUUAUUAAACUAGACUUUACUGUUAUAAAUUAUAACAAUAGGUACAGCUAUACCUGCAAUGUAGGUAUGAUAACUUUUUAAAACUACACAUUACUGGUAAAAUCUGCAAUUACACAAACACUUAGUUAAAAACCUUUAUGACUUGCUUUAAAUAAUUAAGAACUUAUGCUACCUAGAAGUAAUUAUUGUUAAUAAAAUAGAUUGACUGUAAAUAUUUCCUUAUUGGUGUAAUUAGAUCAUCUUAUGAGGUUGCCACAUUUUUAUCAGUUAUAAAAUUUAAUAAAUUUCUGUCAGCCAUUUAUUCUUGGAUCAAUGAGUUUGACAUGAAAAAUGUUAUAAUUUGUAUCGGGAAGAAAGGAAAAGUUAAGAUUUCUGUUGAAAAUGACGCAAAAAUAAUUAGUGUAUGUAAUUCUAUAUCACAUUGUGUAUUAUAGUAUAAAAGUUGUUUUAUGUUCUUUCCAAACUGUUUACUCUUACUCACUCCUCUUUUAGUUUUGAAAGGUUUGUAAUUGUGGUAAACAGAUGAAAAUAGAGUUGUUUAAAAUCACAUUGAUAUGAGAGUAAACAUUUGAUUAGUUGGUGUUAAUUUUUCUCCAGGAUUUAACUUUUCUGAUAACUGCAGUACUUGUUGAUGUUUACAUAUUAUAUCUGUCUAGGGAUGGGACAAGUAUCCAUUUCGUCAGAUUUUGCCGUAGCCGGUGAAAUCUGAUCCGAUUCUAUGUUAAUUUUAUAGUGAAUUGGAUAAUCAGAUAGCAUUUCCAUCAGCAAUUAUCUCACAAUAUUCUACAGAAAUGAUAUUAUUUGCAUUGUCCCCCAGUGGGAAGUCGGAUAGUUUUAUAAAAACUAAAAUUCGAGUUUCGGUAUCUGCAGUGGGCAGAGCAUGGAUAGCCCAUUAUGCAGCUUUGUGCUUAACAACAAAUAAACGAACCUACCAGUAUGUGCAUCACAUGUAAUAGCUUUGCAUCAUGUAAGUCUACAGGUGUUUUCUACCAGCUUAUAAGCAUAGUAGCAUUUUCUUGGGUAUUAAAAAGUGGGAGUCCUGAUGGUUAUAAUACAGAUAGUCAUUAUGUAGUUUAAAUAAUCAUGCCUACCCAUUGUGUUGCCCUGUGUGAUGCUGGUGGUUAUGGUAGUGAAACAACAUUUGCAAGUACAAUUCAAACAACAGUCUCAGCAGCAGCUUGGGGAGUGGAGAAGACUAAAACAUGUAUACUAUUACUGCUGCAUUUCCUUAAAGGGCAUGCAGUAACCACUGAUUUGUAUGGAAUUGUAUAACUUUAUUAAAUUUUAAAAAGACGAUGAAGUAACGAUUUUAAUACAAUACCAAAAUUAUGUGGUGGCAUACACCUGCAGCACAUUUUCAGUGUGUAUGGCCACAGCUACUAUUUGUCCCAUCCCUACUUCUGUCAGUGUUUUUACACUUAUUGUCACUUGUGAUCUUCACCAGUAUUGAUGUAAGAAGUCACAUCCACAUCGGUUUAGGUCUGGCUGUUGUAGAGUUUAUCUUUGUGGAAGUAAAGUACGUUUUGGUGAAGCAAUAAAUAUUGAAAGAAGUAAG